RNAcentral lists this ribosomal RNA (1117 nucleotides) under uncultured bacterium. RNAcentral describes it as "bacterial SSU rRNA". It matches the Rfam family "Bacterial small subunit ribosomal RNA", at positions 1 to 1078 of the family's 1533-position model. The record is from RNAcentral.
UUAGAGUUUGAUCAUGGCUCAGGACGAACGCUGGCGGCGUGCCUAAUACAUGCAAGUCGAACGCGUCCCGGUUAAUGAAGUUGAGUGCUUGCACUUGAUUGAUUUAACUUGGUGACGAGUGGCGAACUGGUGAGUAACACGUGGGUAACCUGCCCCGAAGCGGGGGAUAACAUUUGGAAACAGGUGCUAAUACCGCAUAACAACCAAAACCACCUGGUUUUGGUUUGAAAGACGGCUUCGGCUGUCACUUCGGGAUGGACCCGCGGCGUAUUAGCUAGUCGGUGAGGUAACGGCUCACCAAGGCGAUGAUACGUAGCCGACCUGAGAGGGUAAUCGGCCACAUUGGGACUGAGACACGGCCCAAACUCCUACGGGAGGCAGCAGCAGGGAAUCUUCCACAAUGGACGCAAGUCUGAUGGAGCAACGCCGCGUGAGUGAUGAAGGGUUUCGGCUCGUAAAACUCUGUUGUUGGAGAAGAACGGGUGUCAGAGUAACUGUUGACAUCGUGACGGUAUCCAACCAGAAAGCCACGGCUAACUACGUGCCAGCAGCCGCGGUAAUACGUAGGUGGCAAGCGUUGUCCGGAUUUAUUGGGCGUAAAGCGAGCGCAGGCGGUUUUUUAGGUCUGAUGUGAAAGCCUUCGGCUUAACCGGAGAAGUGCAUCGGAAACCGGGAGACUUGAGUGCAGAAGAGGACAGUGGAACUCCAUGUGUAGCGGUGAAAUGCGUAGAUAUAUGGAAGAACACCAGUGGCGAAGGCGGCUGUCUGGUCUGCAACUGACGCUGAGGCUCGAAAGCAUGGGUAGCGAACAGGAUUAGAUACCCCGGUAGUUCAUGCCGUAAACGAUGAGUGCUAAGUGUUGGAGGGUUUCCGCCCUUCAGUGCUGCAGCUAACGCAUUAAGCACUCCGCCUGGGGAGUACGACCGCAAGGUUGAAACUCAANAGGAAUUGACGGGGGCCCGCACAAGCGGUGGAGCAUGUGGUUUAAUUCGAUGCUACGCGAAGAACCUUACCAGGUCUUGACAUCUUCUGCUAACCUAAGAGAUUAGGCGUUCCCUUCGGGGACGGAAUGACAGGGGGUGCAUGGUUGUCGUCAGCUCCUGGUCUGAGAUGUUGG